UACCUGGUUGAUCCUGCCAGUAGUCAUAUGCUUGUCUCAGAGAUUAAGGCA
This 51-nucleotide ribosomal RNA is filed under the name Senecio sotikensis. RNAcentral describes it as "partial 18S ribosomal RNA". It matches the Rfam family "Eukaryotic small subunit ribosomal RNA", at positions 1 to 51 of the family's 1831-position model. Lineage: Eukaryota; Viridiplantae; Streptophyta; Magnoliopsida; Asterales; Asteraceae. The record is from RNAcentral.